This 90-nucleotide transfer RNA is filed under the name hydrothermal vent metagenome. Its description in RNAcentral is "tRNA-Ser-GGA". It matches the Rfam family "tRNA". Rfam says of the family: Transfer RNA (tRNA) molecules are approximately 80 nucleotides in length. The record is from RNAcentral.
GGAGGGGUCGCAUAGUCUGGCCUAGUGCGCACGCCUGGAAAGCGUGUAUGUGGAAACGCAUCGAGGGUUCGAAUCCCUCCCCCUCCGCCC